RNAcentral lists this ribosomal RNA (305 nucleotides) under uncultured bacterium. RNAcentral's name for it is "bacterial SSU rRNA". It matches the Rfam family "Bacterial small subunit ribosomal RNA", at positions 337 to 635 of the family's 1533-position model. The record is from RNAcentral.
ACCUACGGGGCGCAGCAGUAGGGAAUUUUCGUCAAUGGGCGCAAGCCUGAACGAGCAAUGCCGCGUGAACGAGGAAGGUCUUCGGAUCGUAAAGUUCUGUUGAAGGGGAGAAAGAGCGGAGAGAGGAAAUGGUCUCCGAUUGAUAUUACCCUUCGAGGAAGUCACGGCUAACUACGUGCCGGCAGCCGCGGUAAUACGUAGGUGGCGAGCGUUAUCCGGAAUGAUUGGGCGUAAAGGGUGCGUAGGCGGCCUGCUAAGUCUGGAGUGAAAGGUACCGGCUCAACCGGUAUAGGCUCUGGAAACUG